Molecule: long non-coding RNA, 265 nt
Organism: Pelobates fuscus (common spadefoot toad)
Lineage: Eukaryota; Metazoa; Chordata; Amphibia; Anura; Pelobatidae
Exons: 3
Source: RefSeq, a predicted model, not a curated record
UUAGAUGGCUAUGUUGACUUAACUACAGCAGAUUAUUGGGAAAGUCUACAGAAGAAAACAAGGGAAUGGUCUUAAGUGUGACACAUGUGAAAACCAGGAUGGUGCCUCCUGCUCUGGAAAGCUCGAAACGUGUGAUAAAUCUGUCGAAAGCUGCUUUAGUUCCAUAAUUGUUACAAUUGACAGUACCCAAACCACUAUACAAAGCAAAAAGUCUUGUGCAGCCAGCCCCGAUUUUUGUCAUACUACUUAUAACAUGACAUUUGGA